This 350-nucleotide ribosomal RNA is filed under the name uncultured fungus. RNAcentral's name for it is "SSU rRNA". It matches the Rfam family "Eukaryotic small subunit ribosomal RNA", at positions 1326 to 1698 of the family's 1831-position model. The record is from RNAcentral. Lineage: Eukaryota; Fungi.
CGUUAACGAACGAGACCUUAACCUGCUAAAUAGCUAGGCUUAACAUUGUUAGGUCGUCAGCUUCUUAGAGGGACUUUCGGUGUUUAACCGAAGGAAGUUUGAGGCAAUAACAGGUCUGUGAUGCCCUUAGAUGUUCUGGGCUGCACGCGCGCUACACUGAUGAAGCCAGCGAGUAUUUCCUUGACCGGAAGGUCCGGGUAAUCUUGUUAAACUCUGUCGUGCUGGGGAUAGAGCAUUGCAAUUAUUGCUCUUCAACGAGGAAUCCCUAGUAAGCGCAAGUCAUCAGCUUGCGUUGAUUACGUCCCUGCCCUUUGUACACACCGCCCGUCGCUACUACCGAUUGAAUGGCU